Molecule: long non-coding RNA, 9201 nt
Filed under: Theobroma cacao (cacao)
Lineage: Eukaryota; Viridiplantae; Streptophyta; Magnoliopsida; Malvales; Malvaceae
Description: long non-coding RNA (TCAC_LNC003961)
Source: RNAcentral
UUCCUUUGAAAACAAUUCAUAAAACUCAAUCAUACAUUCAUAAUGGCAUCAUCCACUUAUAUAUUUAUAGAUAGAGUAACAAAUGAUUCUUAAUAUUUCACACCAAGUAUUCAUAUACACAUGAUUAGACCUUGACCAUCAGUGGAGUGACUCUAGAAGGGAGAAAUGACUAUUGAAUGUCAAAGUACUUGCCCAAAAGAUGGGAGUACGCGGACACCUCCAUCUACGUCUAAACCACCUAUGAAUCUGAAAACAUAAAGUUGAAAACGUGAGUAUAAACUCAGUGAGUGAACAUAGGAAGAGAACAAGCAAUUACAAGGAAUGAUUUAGAAAUCAUGAUGCAUUUAAGUUCAAAAAUAGUGCAACCUAGUUCAAGUUCUUAUUAAAAUCCUUCCAUCAUCCUUGGGUUAUUAAAUCAUUUCAUAAUGAAGGAACCAUAUUUAGCAAGAAAUCGAAAAGAGAGGAAAUUUUCAGCAAUCAUCGAAGUAAGGCAGUAUAAACAGAAUGUUCUUGUUGCAAUAACAUCAAUUCACAUGUAAAUGGGAAAGUUUCAAGAUUUAUCAUGCCAUAUAAUCACAUAUUAUAAUCAUAAUCUUUCUAUUGCAUACGCAUAUGCUUAAGCAUAUAUCAAUUAAUAUACCACCACACCUCAUCCAACUCAUGUACAUCAUCACCGACAUGUGCACUGCCCACUCAGGAAAUGCACGGUUCUAAUUAUCACGAUAUCAUCAUUAUCGGCAUGUGCAUUGCCUACUCCGCACAUGCAUGGUUGUAAUUAUCAUGAUAGCAUCAUUACCGGCAUGUGCACUGCCCACUUUGCACAUGCACGGUUGCAUUUAUCACAUAAUGGUACCAUUUAUGACAUAGUAUAUAUAUAUCAUUAUACAAAAACAUAUGAAUUCAUCACACUAUCCAUUUCAUAGCAUAAAAACAUUUCAUAAAGGCUUGUUCCCGUGCAAGUUUUUGAAGAAAAACAAUAAAACGUUUUAGAGGAUUCAAUCAAACAUAAACGUGUAUAUCCCAACACAUUGUAAUGCAAGUUCACUCACUUGGCAACAAUGAGAUUUUAAGUCGCUAUUUGUUCGGAGGUGUCUCUAACAAUUUUCACUGGCCAGUCAUUCGCUAUUUACUCUGGCAUGCCACCACUGUUCUCUAACUUUAUUUUUGCACUUCCUAGCAAUAAUACGAACUCAAUAUAUUUAAUUACAUACGUAUAUGGGCAGCAUUUCAAUCAAUUAAUCCUUACUCAAAUUUAUAUUUUCAUCCUAUCAUGAAACCAUAUUCAAUUAACUCAUAUCUUAAUGCAUUUUUACACAAAUUACUUACAUCCAUUGCUUACAAAAUUCCUUAGAUUAUAUCACCGACAACUUAUUUAUGAUGUCACGUGCCUACUUCAACCUUUCUAAAUAAUUUUCACCCAAAUCCAUCUUAUAUUUCCACACAUAAUCCACAUAUAUGGCAGCAACAAUUAUUCUCACUUUCACUCGAUUAUUUCCUAGUUUACACACAUCGUUAUCUAUCUAACUUUCAAUACUUUGUUUCUCAAUCCUCCAUCCACAAUAUUUCUUUUUUUUAUUUCUUUCAAACAACAUGGUAGACAAUCUUAACAAUUUUCAACUAACUUAUGAUAAUAGAUCCCUUCAACAACCAUAAUUCUAUCACAAUAUUCAACUAACCGUAAGCUUUAAAACAUAGUGUUAAGCUUACCGUUUUCCUUUUCCACUUUGAGUCCUUCAUGUACCCAUGGGUUUAUUGGCUUACAUGUUAACAAUUUUUCUCCAAUCAAGCCAAUCUUUGCUGUCACAAGACAUUUCUCUAAGUCACUAACUCAUUUUCAAAGACUAAUCAAGCCAAAAACAAGAAUUCUUACUGUUCCUUGCUUGAAUCACAAAAACCGAGCUUUUUUUUCCUUUCUCUCUUUUUCUUUCUUCUCCUCCUAGGGUUUAGAUGUGCUGAAAAUUGGGGUUAAAGGCUGUAAAUUUAGUGCUUAAGAAGUCUGGAGAAGAAAGGAAAGCGAAGAAAACUUGAUUUCAUGGUGGAUAAAGAUUAAAUGGCAUGGAAGCUUCAAGAAUGGCAUGGAGCUUGGAGGAAAAGAGGAAAAAAUCUUGCUGGAGGAGAUAAGAACAGUUUUGGGCUGAAAAAAAUCAGAGUCAAAGCUUUCUUUGGAAGCUUUGACCAAACUUCACAUAAAAUUUAACGUUUUGCCCUUUUUGUUUCUUUCUAUUUUAAUUUAGUCCUCCCAACACUCAUUUAACUCCAACUUCCUUCUAUUACCUUCUUCUACACAUGUACAAACAAAGUAUGAAGUUUGUACUCCAACGCGGUGUCCCCAUAAUAUUUAACAUAUUUAUUUGCCCGCGCUAUCUUUACUUAAUAAAGACACACGACCCCAUUAACAUCAUUUUUCUCAAAAAUUCUCUCAUUCUUCUUCUCCCCCCUUAGAUUGACCAUAUACUCAUUCUUCAUUGAAAAUUUUGACACUGAAUAAAAUAUUAAUAUUUUAAUAUUAUUUUAUUCCAAAAAUUUUCUCUUGUCUCCUCUUGUCCCUUUGGUACCCAAAAUACCUUAAUAUGCCUCAAUUGACUUUCGAAUCACUUUUUAUCUCACAAAUUCUUCUCUAAUAAAAAUAUCAUUAUUUUAUUAUUAUUUCUUCAUGUGCGAAAUAUUUUAUCCCAAACUGUUCGUUUCAUCUUUCAUCAUUUGUAAACAUUAUAAUUAACCCCAAUUGAUAUCCAAUAAGCUUUAUUAGUUACCAUAUCAAAGUACGGGGUAUUAUACACUUAAAUAGAAUUCGUCCUCGAAUUCAUGUUGAUGUCAAGUUAUCAAUCUCAUUCCAUGAUCUUAUUCCAUUUCUCCUUUUAUAGGGAAUUUCGAUCUAUUCACCUCGUUUACCUCUAGUUCAACUUGAAUACUUCACUUAUGUCUAUUAUUAUCCUUUAGAAUCAAAUCAGCAGUACCCUUCACAAUCAUAAUCUCUUAUAUUGUGACUCCAAGCAUGCCUCUAUCACUCUCAUUAUAUUUGAACCAUACUCCAUCUCAAUCAUACUGAUUUUCAUCACAUAUUAUACUUACUUAUGUAUACCUAAACACCAUCUUAUUAUUUUGCUCCUUGCCAAACUUCUCGACAUUGAUUCAUUCAUCUUAUCCCCAUACACUAUUAUGUAGCCUACAGCAUUAUAAACAUGCCAUAUUUAUUUAUGUACAUAGUCUCAACGUUGAGAAAGGUUAAUGCCUUCAAUUAUUCUUACAUACUUCAGGUUAAUCUUGCAUUUACACCACAUACUUCAAUUAUUCCCACGCUAUGGAUUGCAUUUCUUUAAUCUCAUUUCUCUGACUAUUUUUCCCAAAAUUUCUUAUAUCAUCAUAGUUUAACUUCUAAUAGGACUUCUUGCCAUUGUACCAUCCAUACAACUCAUCAAAUACAUAAAGUUCAAAUCUCAAAUUAUUGAGAACAAUUCUUCACCUUAGUUGGUCGAGUCAUCAAUUUCACAUAUACAUAUGUACAUGCAUUCAAAAUGUCAACAUUCCUCGUUACACAUAGGGAUCCAUGUGUUCGUGUGCCUUGGACUAGAUUUCCCUUUAUUCAUCCCCAUCCCUAUCCAAGAUUCAAUAUAAUAAUCCUCAUAGUGCAUGUCAACAUUCUUGUUAUGCCAAUGCAUAACUUCAUAUCGUUUAUAUGCUUAUACUCUAUUCUUAUCAUUUCUAAUUAUAUAUUUAAGUUUCAUUGUACUAUAUAUUCUUGACCAUAAUGUCAUUAGUCACAUUUCGCUUACUAAAUAUCAUUUUCAUUAUCUUGCAAUCCAGUAUGCGUAUAUGCUUUAUAACUUCAUUGAUCCUUUAAAGAUUCAUUUUUACUUGAUCAUUGCAUCUUAUGCAAUACCAUAAUCUUUCCAAGUCAUCCCUGUUUCUCAAUUAUCUUUCAUGCUUCUAACAUGUAUAUUAUAUCCUUUUUGCAAUUCGUGACUAAUCAGUCACUUAAGACUUAGAUUUAUUCGAAUCAUGCAUAGCUUAUGCGUUUUCGAAUUCCAAUUCCCAUAAUACAUUAGGAGGUUUUCAUUAUCCGACUUCACUAUCGAGAUUACCUUCAACCAUUCUUUAUACUAUUCUCUUAUACUGAUAUAACAUCAUUCUCCCUUAGUCAAUUCACAAUUUAUACUUGGAAUUGCAAGACUGGAAACAAGGUUCUUCUCAAGCACCUUUCAAAAUGACUGUGAGUACCACUCUCAGCUUACGGCUUCCUUUUUGUACCGACAUAACUUAAUGCUUGCUUUCACAAGAUUCAUAGCAGAACUCCUCUUGAGUAUUUCCUUGGGGAUACUUAUCUUAAACUUAUGUCUCACCGCAUAUGACCACUUCACUCGUGACUUAGCAGUUAGGCUCUUCAGCAAGUUUCAAAAAUCCCACAUUUAAUACUUGUCAUGUAUGAUUAGUAAUUCCUUCUCAAAGAUGUUUGUGCAUUCUUGAAACACUUAGUCUCUUAUUUGCUCCUUAACAUCUCAAGCAUAUCAUUCAAUAGACAUGCACUUAUUCUUAAAGGUAUAUAAAUACGUACUCAUUCAUUCAAUCCCCAACUCAUCCUCAUAGGUUUCUAGGGUUCCACACAAUUGGCCUUGUGUUGUUACUAACCCUUUUCAUUUAGCUGAGUCAAGACAAGAAUUGUAAAUUCUCAUAAUGAUAUUCUAUAUAAACUCGUUUUCUAUACCACCCUUGUAAUCCUUCAUUCACACUUUCAUCACUUGGUAUUGACAUCCCUUGCCCAUCUCUCAUAUAUUCAUCUAACUCUUCACUCAUGUUUUCCUUAACCUUUAACAAGACUUAAUCUCUCAUCUCCUUUAUUUCUUAGGAUUUGACUUUGGGUCAACAUAUUAUUCAUCCUAAUACUUCACAUGGUAUCUUAUCUCAAUGUAAUCAUCUCAAGAAUCUUUCAACCUCUCUUUUAAUUAUAUGCCCAUAUACAAGACAAUAAAGAAACUUUUCAAUUCAUUCAUGUAAACAUUCUUCGGAACAUUUAAGACUCCCAAAUAACAAAGCUUAAUGAUCGAUGAUCAUAUUUUAGCUUGUAAGCUCAUUAUCAUGCCACUCCCAUCUUACUCAUGCAUCUUAGACAUGAGGUGUCCCUACCGCUGCGAUGCUGGACAGUCAGUGCUACAGCGUUGUGGCUGCUAGACAUGGGAUAGUUUCAACAUUGCACCGUUAAACAGUUAGUGUUGUGGCGCUAUGGUUGCUGGAAGUUUCUUCCACAAAUAAGUUCUUCCAUCUUUAAAGUUACUACAGGGAUCAUGCUUAACCAUUUGGCUUUACUCCAGGCCUAUCCUACAAUUUUCAUGACCAUGCGUAUCUUCUCUUUUGCUUAUCAUAUGCACUAAGCCGAGUCAAAAUUUUCAAACUCAAUUUAUUCUUUAACACUUAUCUUCAACCAAUAAGUCCCACCUUAGGAUAAUCUUGCCAUAUCGCAGCAAGUUCUCAAUAUAUAAUAUCACACACAAAAUUAUUCACCAUUUAUGACAUUCCACGAUUCCUUAACAUUCACAAUUAAUUGUCUUUCUUGUCAUGUAACUCAAAUAGUUUUGUUGACUUUUAGUACAAUGACCAUGAAAAUAGUUCAUCUUUCUCCACGCUCUACGUUCACAAUCUUCAUUAAAUCAAGGAUUCACCUUUUCCCAAGUUCCAUAAUUUAACUCCAUUUGCUAUAUUUGUGCCCAACUAUUACCUCAUAAUGUCAUGGCAUCAUUUGUAAUUCCCUCCAUACUUAAAUUUUACAAUCCUUGACUUAAUCACAUCAUCCUUUCUAAGCGUUACAUAUAUCCUCAUUGAUUUCUCCCAUAUCCUUCCAAAUUGUAAUUGCAACUGGGAUUUCAAAUUUCACCUUUCCACGAUUAAUUGGUAAUCCUUUGUCAGGUCUCGUAGUUGUUUGUACCAUUAAUGCCUUUCUACGUCAUCCUUAAUAAUUAUCCAAGGCGACCAACGAUGCCACUAAGGUAAAUAUCCUCCCUCAAUCAUUAUAUUGCUAAUCUAUGCCUAUCGUAUCAAAGGACUCCAAUACGCAUCAAGUCAUUAAAACAACUACUUCAUAAUCCAUUUAACUCAUACAAAAUAAAAACCAACUCUUAACUCCUUUGUACAGAUAACUACUACUAUUUCCCUUACACCACAUUUAUCUAGACUUAAAGUGAUAUGAAAUUUAAUGAAAAUAUUAUGUGUCUUUAGGAUCCUCGUCGCCUCGAUUCAGGCACAUCGACGGAUCCUCUUCCAGGUCCUUUCCCAUAUCUUUGGAUUUUUCCAUUUUGUCUUUAAUCCAAGCUUGUUGCUACCUCCCAAAUUCCUCCUUACUAAUAGGUGUAGCACCUCUCCCACAGCCAGGAAGGAAGUGUCGAACAACAGAUACCGAUACCUUCCUAGGACGAUAUUUACUUAUCGUCCUUUUUCCCAUCUUGUUCGUGUUCUUUUUCAUCAGAUCGAUUUCAUUACGCACCAAUCUUGCGAGACUCCUCAAGCUCUUAAAUAAUGGUUUACCUCUCGGGGAAAUCGAUCCACUCGAAAAUUUGGUCGGGUUACUUGUUACGCUUUCACCCUCGGAACAUAUCGACUCCAAGUAGUGGAAUCUAGCGAUCCCUUGCUAGUACUAUAAGGGGUAUCGGGACUACCAUCUUUUCUAGACAUGGCGUGUGCAACUGGCGCAUCUCUACCUAUACGUAACAAAGUAUUAAUUACUCAUCCAUCUAGACAUCAUAAGAACAAGUAGGUUUCUAAUGAAGUAGGGGCCCAUGUAGCCUCCCGUCCUUGACUUGUAUUGCGCACCCACAAUCCAAGGACAAGACUGUACACAAACUCCAACAACUACACUAACAACACAAGAAUCCCUAGGAUUCAAAUAAACCUAGGGCUCUGAUACCACGUUUGUCACAACCCAAUUGCUGGGCCAUGACCAAUGCAAGGACUCAAUGGGCUCAGCCCACUAAGCCCAAGCAAGCUUACUAAAUUGAUCUUAUACAUUAAUCCUUAUUCAUUUAGAAUCCGAAAUUUGAAAUAUUCAAACACCAUUCCUUUGAAAACAACUCAUAAAACUCAAUCAUACAUUCAUAAUGGCAUCAUCCACUUAUAUAUUUAUAGAUAGAGUAACAAAUGAUUCUUAAUAUUUCACACCAAGUAUUCAUAUACACAUGAUUAGACCUUGACCAUCAGCAGAGUGACUCUGAAUGGGAGAUAUGACUACUGAAUGUCAAAGUACCUGCCCAAAAGAUGGGAGUACGCGGACACCUCAAUCUACGUCUCAACCACCCCUGAAUUUGAAAACAUGAAGUUGAAAAUAUGAGUAUAAACUCAGUGAGUGAACAUAGGAAGGGAACAAGCAAUUACAAGGAAUGAUUUAGAAAUCAUGGUGCACUGAAGUUCGAAAACAAUGCAACCUAGUUCAAGUUCUUAUUAAAAUCCUUCCAUCAACCCCAAGUUAUUAAAUCAUUUCAUAAUGAAGGAACCAUAUUUAGCAAGAAAUCAGAAAGAGAGGAAAUUUCCAGCAAUUAUCCAAGCAAGGCAGUAUAAACAUAAUGUUCUUGUUGCAAUAAAAUCAAUUCACAUGUAAAUGGGAAAUUUUCAAGAUUUAUCAUGCCAUAUAAUCACAUAUUAUAAUCAUAAUCUUUCUAUUGCAUACGCAUAUGCUUAAACAUAUAUCAAUUAAUAUACCACCACACCUCAUCCAGCUUAUGUAUAUCAUCACCGGUAUGUGCACUACCCACUCUGCACAUGCACGAUUGUAAUUAUCACGACAACAUCAUUACUAGCAUGUGCACUGCCCACUCUGCACAUGCACGGUUGUAACUAUCACGACAGCAUCAUUAUCGGCAUGUGCACUGCCCACUCCGUACAUGCACGGUUGCAUUUAUCAUACAAUGAUACCAUUUAUGACAUAGUAUAUAUAUAUAUAUCAUUAUACAGAAACAUAUGAAUUCAUCACACUAUUCAUUUCAUAACAUAAAAACAUUUCAUAAGUGCUUGUUCCCAUGCAAGUUUUAGAAGAAAAACGAAUAAAACGUUUGAGAGGAUUCAAUCAAACAUAAAACGUGUAUAUCCUAAGACAUUUUAAUGCAAGUUCAUUCACUUGGCAACAAUGAGAUUUUAAGUCGCUAUUUGCUUGGAGGUGUCUCUAACUAUUUUCAUUGGCCGGUUGCUUGUUAUUUACUCCAACAUGCCACCACAGUUCUCUAACUUUAUCUUUGCACUUUCUAGCAAUAAUACGAACUUAAUAUAUUUAAUUACAUACGUAUAUGGGCAGGACUUCAGUCAAUUAAUCCUUACUCAAAAUUUUAUUUUCAUCCUAUCAUGAAACCAUCUUCAAUUAACUCACAUCUUAAUGCAUUUUUACCAAAAUUACUUACAUCCAUUGCUUACUAAAUUCCUUAGAUUAUAUCACCGGCAACUUAUUUAUGAUGUCACGUGCCUACUUCAACAUUUCUAAAUAAUUUUCACCCAAAUCCAUCUUAUAUUUCCACACAUAAUCCACAUAUAUGGAAACAACAAUUAUUCUCACUUUCACUCGAUUUUUUCCUAGUUUACACGCAUCGUUAUCUAUCUACCUUUCAAUACUUUAUUUCUCAAUCCUUCAUCCAUAAUAUUCCUUUUUUUAUUUCUUUCAAACAACAUGCCAUACAAUCUUAACAAAUUUUCAACUAGCUUAUGCAAAUAGAUCCUUUCAACAACCAUAAUUCAAUCACAAUAUUCAACUAACAGUAGGCUUUAAAACAUAGUGUUAAGCUUACCAUUUUCCAUUUCCACUUUGAGUCCAUCAUGUACCCAUGGGUUUUGGUAGCUUGCAUGUCACCAAAUCUUGUCCAAUCAAGCCAAUCUUUGCUGCACAAAACAUUUCUCUUAGUCACCAACUCAUUUUCAAAGACUACUCAAGCCAGAAACAAGAAUUCUUACCGUUCCUUGCUUGAAUCACCAAAACCAAGUUUUUUCUUCCUUUCUUUCUUUUUCUUUCUUCUCCUCCUAGGGUUUAGAUGUGCUGGAAAUUGGGGUUAAAGGCUGUAAAUUUAGUGCUCAAGAAGUUUGGAGAAGAAUAGAAAAGAAAACAUGGAAAGGAAAGUGAAGAAAACUUGAUUUCAUGGUGGAUAAAGAGAAAAUGGCAUGGAGCAUGGAGGAGAAAAGGAAAAAAUCUUGCUGGAGGAGAUAAGAAUGAUUUUGGGCUGAAAAAAAUCAGAGUCAAAG